This 2146-nucleotide long non-coding RNA is filed under the name Panax ginseng (ginseng). RNAcentral's name for it is "long non-coding RNA (PGIN_LNC017100)". The record is from RNAcentral. Lineage: Eukaryota; Viridiplantae; Streptophyta; Magnoliopsida; Apiales; Araliaceae.
CAUACUAUAUCAUCAUUACAAGUCAAAGUAAUAGAUAUUAAGUGACCCAAUGGGUUAAUCCAACGAACCGACCCGGUCCUAUAGGAUUAAAUAAAGUUAACACAAUGACUAGGUCCAACGAGCCCCAUAGCUUAAAUAUAAAAGCCCAACGGAUUAAAUUAAUAAGUGAGCCCAAUUUAGCUGGCCCAAAUAGGAGAAAUAUCAUGACCCAACAUAAAGGCUUUUCAAGAUCUUCAUUAAAUCAUGUCUCAAGUGCAGCCAUAUCCUUUUUCAUACAUGAUCCAUGAAGCAAACAAAGAUUAAAUUUUUUUGUGAACUUCGGGAGUUGGGCUUCAGGUUUGGGAGAUGAUAAUGGAUGUCUUCAGGACUUGGCUUUGGGAUCGAGUUCCUAGCUACGGAUCGGUUCGGCUUCGGGAUGGCAAAUGACUUCGGAUCAGAUUUCGGAUGUCUUUGGCUUCGGAUGGCGGAAGGUUUGGGGUCAGAUGGUUGGAAGGCUUCGGGAUCAGAUAUCUUUGUUCCUUGAUUUUGGAAUUUUUAGGCAUGCUCUGUGCUAGCUCAAUUAGAUUGAUUCCUCUCAUAAUACUAGUUUCAAUUCCAUCAGAUUUAGGUCUCAGAAUCCCCACUAAAUAUUCUCAAGGAAAAUGGGAUUUUGUGAACUGGGUUCUUGCUAAUCUCCCAUUUAUUUGAAGAAUUAUUGGUUUUCUUGAAGUGGUUUUGGUCAAUUUUUGUGCCUUUGGAUGUAAAGAUGUAAUUUUGUAAUUGAGAUUUUGGGUUGUGAUGAUUUGGUUGGUUUAUAUAUGGGUUCUUUUUCUAUGUUAUUGAAUUUGAAGUAGAGAGAAGGGAAGGGAUUAUGGUUUCUGUUGAAGAGAAAAGCUCAACCCAGCUGGGUUGAUCAAUGAGGCACUCUACGAUAACAUUCUCUACUUUGUAUUAAAUUUAUAUUCUAUCAUUCGUACUUUGUAUUAAUUCAUAAAUUCAAUUCUUCCAGAAUUCAAUCAUUCAUAAUUCAACCCAAACAAAUUACUUCUGCCAUUUCCAAAUCGAGUUGUCUGCUUUGUCAAAUAGAGGAGAGAAAAAAAUGUUGUGAAUUUGAAAAUGGAAAGGCUGAUCCGCAGUUUAAUACUAAGUAUGUCGUUUGAUUUUUAUAAGGAAAAGCAUUUUGGUCUUCUCUCCCCUCCGCAGUAUUAAACUGCGGAAUACUGAAAACUAAACUGCAAACGUGAAUUCUAUUAAUCCGUUCAAUUUUCGGAUGGAGGGUCAUGAUAUGUUGUAAGACUAGACUUUUUUUUACAAUGUUUACUAUAAAUCGGUCCCCAUAUAUAUAUAUAUAUAUAUAUAUAUAUAUAUAUAUAUAUAUAUAUAUAUAUAUAUAUAUAUAUAUAUAUAUAUAUAUCAAGAGGUUAACGAUUCAAAUUCAAGGUUGGAUGAUAAAUCUCUAUUAUCCAACUCAUCUCUAACCCUUUAAAAAGGUUUUUAUAUAAAAAAAUCUUUCAUUAUAAUUUUAUACAAAACUUACGACGUUUUGUUGAGUAACGUUAAUUAGUCAAACUUGACUAAUGUAUGUCUUAGAUUAUCUUUCCCUUAUAUAUAUGUAUGAGACUGAUCUAUAGUCAACGUUGUAAAUUUAAGGUUAUCUUUACAACACAUCGUGACCGUCCAUCCGUUGAUCGAAAGGUUAAAUAGAACCUCAUCCGCAGUUUAAUAUCCAGAUCCAUACCCAACGUCCCAACUCUUCUCAUUGCAAAUUAGUUUUGAAUUAGAGAGUUUGUGAUGCUUUUAUAUGUUAGAUUUAGGCAUAUUUUUGUGGGAGUCUCAUAUUCAUCCGGAGGAAAAAUGUUAAGUGUAUAAGUUGUAUAGAUUCAUCCUAUAUAUCAAAUACAUUUAGAGAGUAUGUCUUGUAUAUAAUGAUUAGGGACAAUUUUUCUCAUUGCAAAUUAGUUUUGAAUUAAAGAGUUUGAUACUUUUAUAUGCUAGAUCUAGGCCCAUUAUAUACAUCUAACAAACACUUUACAUAAUUAAGGAGCUAAUUUUACUCGGAGAGAAUACUUUUUUUUCAUUUACAUAAUUAAGCAAUAAAUUUUACUUGGCUAGAAUCCUAUUUUUUUUCUUGGUCUUUUGUGUAGGUGGUGGAAGAGUACUGGUUUGG